RNA transcript from Helianthus annuus (common sunflower), 584 nucleotides. RefSeq lists it as uncharacterized. Lineage: Eukaryota; Viridiplantae; Streptophyta; Magnoliopsida; Asterales; Asteraceae. The record is from RefSeq and is a predicted model, not a curated record. The transcript is spliced from 3 exons.
UCGAACCUGUUAAUCUUUUAUCUUCCCGACGAAUGGAGUUCACUUCCGGCCUUCAUGCCGCCGUCGCCGGUUCAGACUACCACCACCGGAAUUACUUCCGACGAAAUCGAAACGACGUCGGAGAAGAAUAUUAUUAUUCAUACCACCGAGUGAGACGAACGUGUAAUACCCGUAAUUACAGUUUUCAUCACCAGCAGCGGUGCAUACCGUCCAAGUAUGGAUGGAAACCCGAAAUCUUGAAGAAAGGUGUAAUGGAAGAGGGUCCCACUAUAGUCUGCAGGCCCAUCAUCUCUCAUAUCCCCUGCAUCAACACAAGAGACUACUACUGAGAUUAAUACAAAGCUAAAUAGCAGAGUACAACAAAACAACCAACAUUCAAUGAAGCAGCUAAACUUAUUUUCUACAAACGAACCCGCAAAUUGUACUCCAAUACUUCCAAGCCAACUUACAAAAUGUGGUUGAAACUGUGAAAAGGUAAGAGUUAGUUCAUAUUAUGCCAUUUUUCUAAGUGUAUAGUGCAUGAUUUGUUGUUAUGGUUUUGUCAAAGCUAGCGAUUUUAUUCUCAUUUUAAAACUUACAGGAAU